UACCCUGUAGAACCGAAUUUGUGUGAUAAAACAACAGUCACAGAUUCGAUUCUAGGGGAGU
Hucho hucho (huchen) is the source of this 61-nucleotide microRNA precursor. The record is from Ensembl. NCBI's taxonomy places the organism in Eukaryota, Metazoa, Chordata, Actinopteri, Salmoniformes, Salmonidae.